UUAAUGGCCGCCGGUGGCGGAGGGGACGCUCUGAGGGCGGCCCCGCCCGUCCCCGCGCCGGGCCGCAAAACGAACCACAGACACUGAUGCCUACGCGCAGCCCUGUUCGCUCCUCUGGCUCUCUCUGCUCAGUGCAACCACGCCUGUUCGCUGCCGUGGUUGCCUCAGUGGAAGUUGUCCAGGAUUUGCCGUGCUUAGCAAAGUUUUUCUGGCGAACGGCUUAUCUGCUGAACAGCUUGUGAGCCUGCGAAUGCGCUGAGUGCGCAUCUCUGGUGUAAGGUUUAGACUCUUCCCCUCUGCAACAUCACUCGGGAUAUCUCAGGGGAACAGCUGAGUUGCUGUGGUCAUCCUGGAAGUCAGCUGGUGGCGCUCGAUCCAGACUUUUCCCAGCUUGUCCAUUCACAGAGACUUCUUCCCAAUAGUAUGUCCCGUUGUCAGGCCACGUGGGAUUUUUUUUUUUGUAUUUGCCGUUUGCAGACUUCCUGGUCCUGAAGGUGGGUCCUGCAGGGGACAAAGUGGGUUGGGAAAGAGGAUAUGAUAGCCAAUAUCAGCACAGGAAGAGAGAUGACCCUGGAUCUACAGCUCUCCUGCAGAAUUUGUGCUGAGGCAACUUCAUGAAACAGAGUAGAAAUAUGACAGGACAAUGAAAGCUAAUGAAAUAUGAAGCUUUUCACUUCUAGCUCAUAUGUUCCAGCACAUCCUUCAACCUGGAAGGAAAUAUAAUCUAGGAUGUGGUAGUGACCUCUUUAUUACUGACCUGUUGUCAGCAGCAAAUAAAAGUUUUUGCAACUUUAA
Vidua macroura (Pin-tailed whydah) is the source of this 795-nucleotide long non-coding RNA. RefSeq lists it as uncharacterized. Lineage: Eukaryota; Metazoa; Chordata; Aves; Passeriformes; Viduidae. The transcript has 3 exons. The record is from RefSeq and is a predicted model, not a curated record.